Molecule: ribosomal RNA, 441 nt
Filed under: uncultured bacterium
Lineage: Bacteria
Description: partial 16S ribosomal RNA
Rfam family: Bacterial small subunit ribosomal RNA
Source: RNAcentral
CCUACGGGUGGCAGCAGUGGGGAAUAUUGCACAAUGGGGGAAACCCUGAUGCAGCAACGCCGCGUGAGGGAUGAAGUAUUUCGGUAUGUAAAGCUCUAUCAGUAGGGAAUAGUAAAGAAGUUACCAGCAAAUGAACCCCCGGCUAACUAGGUGCCAGCAGCCGCGUUAAUACGUAGGUGGAAGGGGUUAUCCGGAUUUACUGGGUGUAAAGGUAGCGUAGACGGAGAGGUAAGUCAGAUGUGAAUGCUCAAGGCUUAACCAUGGAACUGCUUUUGAACCUGUCACACUGGAGUGCGGGAGAGGUAAGAGGAAUUCUUAGUGUAGCGGUGAAAUGCGUAGAUAUUAAGAGGAACACCAGUGGCGAAGGCGUCUUACUGGAACGAAACUGACGUUGAGGCUCGAAAGCGUGGGGAGCAAACAGGAUUAGAUACCCGUGUAGUC